RNAcentral lists this ribosomal RNA (446 nucleotides) under uncultured bacterium. RNAcentral describes it as "partial 16S ribosomal RNA". It matches the Rfam family "Bacterial small subunit ribosomal RNA", at positions 29 to 523 of the family's 1533-position model. The record is from RNAcentral.
AGCGAACGCUGGCGGCAGGCUUAACACAUGCAAGUCGAACGCCCCGCAAGGGGAGCGGCAGACGGGUGAGUAACACGUGGGAACGUACCCUUUGGUUCGGAAUAACUUGGGAAACUCAAGCUAAUACCGGAUAAGCCCUUAUGGGGAAAGGUUUACUGCCGAAGGAUCGGCCCGCGUCUGAUUAGCUAGUUGGUGAGGUAAUGGCUCACCAAGGCGACGAUCAGUAGCUGGUCUGAGAGGAUGAUCAGCCACACGGGGACUGAGACACGGCCCAGACUCCUACGGGAGGCAGCAGUGGGGAAUAUUGGACAAUGGGGGCAACCUUGAUCCAGCCAUGCCGCGUGAGUGAUGAAGGCCUUAGGGUUGUAAAGCUCUUUUACCCGGGACGAUAAUGACUGUACCGGGAGAAUAAGCCCCGGCUAACUUCGUGCCAGCAGCCGCAGUAA